Molecule: long non-coding RNA, 5506 nt
Organism: Homo sapiens (human)
Lineage: Eukaryota; Metazoa; Chordata; Mammalia; Primates; Hominidae
Gene: FIRRE
Product: firre intergenic repeating RNA element
Source: Ensembl
GUGGUAGCAGAGUCACUGCAGAGAACCAGACAAUACCAGGUUGCUUAUAAAAGGAUGCCAUGUGCUUGCUGGAGGUCCCAGGUGCAACCAAAUUGCUUGCAGCUAGGAGGACCUUGAAGAGAAAUGGGAUCAGCCCGCCAAACCAAGAAGGGUUAGCACUUUUGCUAGGAGAGCUGACCACGCACAAACAGAUGAGAACCAAAACCGAGUGAAGAGGAUUGAAGAUGAACCCACAUUUUAAAAGUUCUUGUCUGCUGGAGGUGGCAUUACCUGUGACCUCGCUUCACUUCUCCAUACAUGGCUGUUAUAGCAGAAAAUCCAGCUUUCUGAAGCAUAUUUCACGACAUAUGAUGAGACUUAUGUGAUGUGAGACCUGAGAAAACUAUGAUAGAAAGAAGCAACUCAAGUUGCAAGGAUAUUCCUCAUGUAUCAUGCAAGGAUAUUCCUCAUAUAUCAUAGACUAAGGUGUCAGUAUGUUCUUCAAGCUGCUCUGCUCCUGGGCCCAAGCUAUUCUCCUGCCUCAGCCUUCCAAGAAGCUGAAACUACAAGAACACAAGACUGUACCUGGCUUGCAAACACCAUUGCUAAUAAGAAGAUAUUAGUCUCACUCAUUCUGUCGCCCAGGCUGGAGUGCAGUGGCGUGAUCUCAGCUCACUGCAACCUCCACCUCCCGGAUUCAAGCGAUUCUCCUGCCUCAGCCUCCUGAGUAGCUGGGACUACAGGCCCUCCCUCCGUUGCCCAGGUGGGAGUGCAGUGGUGUGAUGUCAGUUCACUGCAACCUUGGCCUCCCGGAUUCAAGCGAUUCUCCUGCCUUAACCUUCCGAACAUGGAUCCCUGAGGUCGGUCCCCAAUACGACAAGACAAUUUGAUAUCAUAAUAGAACACUGCAGAAACAAUGCUGAGUGAAGAAGAGUAGAAAUGGGAAGACUUGGUUGAGCGGAAACUGAGUUCUUGAAAAGAGGAGAUGCUUGAUGAGGAUGGAGUCUUGCUCUGUCGCCCAGCCUGGAGUGCAGCAGCACGAUCUCAGCUCACUGCAUCCUCCGUCUCCCAGGUUGAAGGGAUUCUCUUGUCUCAGCCUCCCGAACAACUGGGACUAAAGGCAUGGAUCCCUGAGGUCUGCCCCAGUACUAUAAGACAAUUUGAUGUAAGAAAACACAGCAGAUAUAAUACUGAGUGAAGAAGAGUAUAAAUGAGAAGAUUGGUUGUGCAGAUACUGAGUUCAUGAAAAGAGGAGAUGAUUGAUGAGGCCAGGUGCGGUGACUCAUGCCUGUAAUCCCUGCACUUUGGGAGGCUGCGGCGGGCGGAUCACCUGAGGUCAGGAGUUCGAGACCAGCCUGGGAGACAGAGCAUGGAAACCUAAGGUCUGUACCCAAAACUACAGGACUAUUUGACAUCAUAAUAAAACACUGCAGAUAUGAUGCUGAGUAAGAGUAGAAAUGGGAAGACUUGGUUGUGCAGUAACUGAGUUCUUGAAAAGAGGAGAUGCUUGAUGAGGGCAUGGAUCACUAAGGUCUGUUCCCAAUACAAGAAGACUCUUUGACAUCAUAAUAAAAUACUGCAGAUACGAUGCUGAGUGAAAAAGAGUAGAAAUGGGAAGACUUGGUUGUGCAGAAACUGAGUUCUUAAAGAGAGGAGAUACUUUAUGAGGUUGCAGGGCUUUGACUCCUGGGUACAUGUAUCUCAUCUGAAAGGGAAUCCUGACGCCUACUGAAUCUUAAUAGUCAAUAUUGAUAUCUGGCAUCAAAUUCAAGUUGACCAAAGUUCCAUCUUCAGACCUGGGAGAAGAUGACAGUCAAAAUGAACUGCUUUCAUGUGACACUGGACCAGGCCUAUAUACAAAGGCAUAAGUAAUCAUUGAAUAAUGUUUCAUCUAUCUAUCUUAAUAUAAUUUGUUCUAUGCCUUACUAGAUAAAUGUUUAGUUACCUGUGAGUUUUCUUUUCCUGCCAUUGUCAGAGCUAGGCAGGGCUUAAGUCCCUUUCGUUUAAACAUUACUAACUCUAUACAUAGCUUGCAAAAUUGGAUAAAACAACAAAGGUUACUUUUUCACUCUCUCUCUGCUUAAUAUCUCUGAAAUUUAAAACUAUUCAGAAUCCCACUGGGCCCGAUCUAUUUUCAAUGCUAAUGCUCCACUGCUAAAACUAUAUAAGCAUCUUCCCUCUAGGCUCAGGCACUAUCUUGGAAGAGGUAAAUGUGUAAGAUUGUAAAGGUUGAUUUUUGAGCAACAAAAUUAAUUUAGAUCUUCCAAAUAAAAAAUGGGCACACAGAUGCCCAAACAGUUGGCAAAAUAAGAUACUUUACCUCCUGGACCAGUAUGUGGACCUUUUUCAUCCAUCCCAACCAUAAUUUCCUCUUUCCUGUAGAAUUAAAAGAAAAUUGCAAAGAGGAUAUGAACUUUUCUGGUAAGAAAACCUCCUGGGUAUAGUGCUCCCAGUUAUGAGAUUUAUGCAGAUUGUUAUAUAAAGUUUUUUUAAAUCAAGCACCUUAGGACAAACUAUUAAAAAGACUGCUAAAAGCGUUGUGACACAACAAAAGUCUCUAAAUUCUGUAGCUUAAAAAGUUUUAACAAAGUACUUAUCUUUUGCAAGCUAAUUGCUACAAGUCUAUAACUAAAACAUGUAUUGACUGAUGUCUUAGGUCUCCCUAAAAUAUAUAAAACCAAGUUGUAAACCAAUCACCUUGGACACAUGUUCUCAGGACCUCUGGAGACUGUGCCUUGGGCCAUGGUCACUCAUAUUUGGCUGAGAAUAAAAUUUUAAAAAUAUUUUACAGAGUUGGGUUUUUCUUGUUGGCUUUUUCAUAAAAUGUAAAAUGUUUGAGAAAGACACUUCUCAAGUGGCCAAGUGAGGAUAUUCUAGCUUAAUGCGUAGAAUUUAUAGCUAAGUCAAUUUUGUAACCUUGCCUUUUGACUUUUGGUUCUUGAUGCUUACAUUACAAAAUUUUAAGGUUUGAUAAAUGCCUGCUCCACUUCCAUUCCCAUCUGGCCUAGGAUAUUUAAAUUGGCUAUAAGUCUUUUGGCUCUACAUCUGUUGGCCGUGAGUCCCCACCAAGGGAUAGGAUAGACCCAGGGCACAUAGCCACACCACCCCAGCAAUGGUAUGCAACAAAAUGAUAGUUUGGCCAUUGAUGUUGCCUCUGGGAAAUUUUUUUUUUUUUUUUGACGAAGUCUUGCUCUGUUGCCCAAGCUGGAGUGCAGUGGUGUGUUCUAGGCUGACUGCAACCUUUGCUUCCUGGGUUCAAGUGAUUCUCUUGCUUCAGCCUCCCAAAUGGCUGGUAUUACAGACGUGCACCACCACACCUGGCUAAUUUUUUUUUUUUUUUUUUGAGACAGAGUCUCACUCUGUCAUUCAGGCUGGAGUGCAGUGGCACAAUCUCGGUUCACUGCAACCUCCAUUUCCCGGGUUCAAGUGAUUCUCCUGCCUCAGCCUCCUGAGUAGCUGGGAUUAUAGGCAUGCACCACCAGGCCCAGCUAAUUUUUGUAUUUUUUUGUAGAGAUGGGGUUUCGCCAUGUUAGUCAGGCUAGUCUCGAACUCCUGACCUCGUGAUCCACCUGCCUCGGCCUCCCAAAGUGAUGGGAUUAUAGGCGUGAGCCACUGUGCCUGGCCUAAUUUUAGUAUUUUUAGUAGAGAUGGGGUUUCGCAAUGUUGGCCAGGCUAGUCUCGAACUCCUGACUUCAGGUGAUCUGCCUGCCUUGGCCUCCCAAAGUGCUGGGAUUACAGGUGUGAGCCACCACGCUUGGCCUCCUCUGCUCAAUCCUGACCAGAAAAAUCAAAUUCUAACUCCCCCAAUCAACUGAAUUCCCCUCCAUUCAUCUGCCAAGGGGAUUCUAAAGAAUCCUGAAAACUAGUUCAGGCCAUGACAAUUGACAUUAAAACAGAUCUUAAAACUGACAAAACAGAUUCUUUGUAGCAAUAAGAUACCAAAUUUCAACCUGACUCAGGUAUAACUUCACAUGAUAAAAAAGGAAAUAAAAAUAUUUUACCCCCAAAAUAGAUUUCUUUGACAUAUUUUGAAAUGGCCCUGCAAGGCAGUUGGGGAAAUUUUGCAUCUGUAAAGCAUCUCCUUAACAUAACUAGAUCUUUCCCCUUCCAGGCCCUCCUAAACCUGAAGAGAUUAACUGAGAUUCUAGCACCUUUUAAAGUCUACAUAGGAAACAUUCACCAUUUAUUAUCUCUAAGGGCAGCCACUUAUGAGACUUCAUCUAUGUAAUAAAAACCUUGGUCUCCACAACCCCUUAUGUUAACCCAGACACUCCUUUCUAUUGAUUCCAGGUCUUUAGAAAAUAACUUAACUCCUCCAAGCAAUUGCCAAACAGAAAACCUUGGCAUCUUCCUAUGACCUGUAAGCACCCACUUUCCCCUGCUUUAAGUUGUCCUACCCUUCUGCACCAAACCAAUGUAUACCUCACAUGUAUUGAUUGAUGUCUUCUGUCUCUCUAAAACAUAGAAAAGAAAGCUGUAACCCAACCACCUUGGUCAGGACGUCUUGAGACUGUGCCUUGCGCCAUGGUCAGUCGUAUUUUGUGCAGAAUAAACAUUUUUCAAUAUUUUACAGAGUUUGGCUUUUUUGUUGACUUUUUUCAUAAAACAUGAAAGAUUAUGUUUGAGAAAGGCGUUUCUCAAGUGACCAUGUGAAGAUGUUGGGAAAUCCUCUCGCCAAAGAACAACUAUGAAAUGGACAAAACCAACCAUUUCUGUGCUCUGGAAAUUAAAUGUGCACAACAAUGUUAAACUUUGGGCAAGAAAGUUUGAACUCUGAUACGGUUUUGAUUUGUGUCACUGCUGAAAUCUCUUGUGCAAUUGUGACCCUCAGUGUUGGAGGAGGGGCCUGGUGGGAAGUGAUUGGAUCAUGGGGGUGGAUUUCCCCCUUGCUGUUCUCAUGUAGUGAGUGAGUUCUCGUGAGAUCUGGUUGUUUAAAAGUGUGUAGCAUCUCCCCCUGCUCUCUUCCUCCUUCUCUGGCCAUGUAAAACCUGCCUGCUUCCCCUUUGCCUUCUACCAUGAUUGUAAGUUUCCUGAGGCCUCCACAGCCAUGCUUCCUGUACAGACUGUGGAAGUGUAAGUCAAUUAAACGUCUUUAGUCUUUAAACCUAUAAAUAUCUUUGUAACAACUUCCUUAGCUACAAUCUAUAAGUUAUUUAUAGAUUACACAGUCUCAGGUAGUUCUUAAUAGCAAUGCAAAAAUGCACUAAUACAAACCCUGUUUUGGUCUGGCCUGUGGCUGCUUCCGUAUUUCUCUUUCCUAGGUCCAUCUAUAGGGACAUUCUGCCAAGGUGAAAUAAAGACUGAUAAAAUUCCUUACUAGCAAACUUGUAUUACAAGAAAUAACUAAAAACAGUCCUUCAGUCUAAAAGGAAAUGACUCUAUAUGGUGACUUGAAUCCACAAGAAUAAAUGAAGGGCACAGGAAAUGGUAAAUAGCUGGGUUAAUAUAAAAAAGACUCUAUGUAUUGUUUUUUCAUUUUUUCUAUAUUAUCUAAAUGACCUAAGAUUAUGUGAAGUAAUAAUUAUUA